Molecule: unclassified non-coding RNA, 381 nt
Filed under: Hevea brasiliensis (rubber tree)
Lineage: Eukaryota; Viridiplantae; Streptophyta; Magnoliopsida; Malpighiales; Euphorbiaceae
Source: RNAcentral
GUAAACUACACCUUUAGGGAUGAAUGCUUCACAUCUAAGAAUGUGGAGUUCUUACUACAAGAUUUAAAGUUACACCCAACACAGUCGAAGACCAUGUCAGACAAAUUUGCAGCAGUUGGAAUACUUCAGGGAUUCCUCGACUUUGUUAACAGGAAACACGCCUGAGAAAUUUCUUCGAAAAAUGGACAUGCAUCUACUUCAUUAUAUGUUGUACAUAUAAUAAACAUUAAAACUAGGAGUAGCAUGUGUUGCUGUAGUUUGUUACUCUCUGUAUAAAUUUGUAACAGUGUAUUCGAAGACAAGACAGUAAUGUUAUGGAUUUGGGCUUCUUUGUUGGUCAGAUCUUGUGACAUCUUGACCACAUUUUCAUCUGCUUGAAGA